GGAAGUAGAAGUCGUAACAAGGUCUCCGUAGGUGAACCUGCGGAGGGAUCAUUACAGAGUUCAUGCCCUACCGGGUAGAUCUCCCACCCUAUGUUAUUAUUACUUUGUUGCUUUGGCGGGCCGUUAGGCUCCGGCCCGACUACCGGCCCCGGCUGGUAAGCGCCCGCCAGAGGACCCAAAACCCUGAAUAUUAGUGUCGUCUGAGUACUAUCUAAUAGUUAAAACUUUCAACAACGGAUCUCUUGGUUCUG
This 251-nucleotide unclassified non-coding RNA is filed under the name plant metagenome. RNAcentral's name for it is "partial contains small subunit ribosomal RNA, internal transcribed spacer 1, and 5.8S ribosomal RNA". The stretch from base 1 to 54 matches the Rfam family "Eukaryotic small subunit ribosomal RNA", at positions 1778 to 1831 of the family's 1831-position model. The record is from RNAcentral.